GUCUGUUGGCAUGCUAAGUUGAAAUCAAAACCUUCUCCAUGGAAACGUUUUGAAACGUUAUGUUUAGAUUCUAAGGUGCUGACAGUAAAGUUGCAGUUUAAAGAGGUUUUAUGGUCUGAAGACGGUAAAUAGUAAAUGCCUUACCAUUUCUCGCUUUUGAGACCUAAUCCAUUUUUAUGUCAAGAAAUUCCGUAUAUGUAAGAUUUAGUGAGUGCAAAGAAUGUCAGCAACCAUUGUGGAGAUUUUGCAUUCUGUCUGCCUGCCUGGCUUGUAUUCUUAGAUGCACGUAUACAUUUAAACAUGUAUAAACUUAUACAUGCCCUUCCUGAGUUUUGGAUGUUGCUGCCAAGGGCAGUCAGCUCAUUUGACUCUAUCUACUAUGCUGCAUUUGAGAUUUUGUCAAUGCCAUUGAAUACAAAGGUGAAAGCAAGAGCCCAUAAAUAUGGCUGCAUCAAAAAGACAUGCAUAGAAUGGUGAAAAAUUUGAGUUGCUUGAUGUUCACAUUUCUCGGCUGAGGUUGAAUGAGGCUCCAGAAACUGACCAGCAAGCCUGCAGACCAGCAGAUGGAUGGAGGAAUGACGGGGCAGAGAAAGGGAGAAGAGGAGGAACAUCUGAACGCCAAGAGGAAUAAGGCUGGGGGCAGUCCGAAAGGAUUCUGUUUGCUGGGCGGCCCGACCCCAGGGGAGGAUCAUUUUCCCACUCCAUCCCCUGCUUCUGACUCCCCAUUUAUCCUGCUGAAAGUCACCUCCACCUCCACCUCCACCACUCAAUAAAACUUCGCAUUCAUCCUUCGAGUUCGUGCGUGACCCGAUUUUUCCGGGAGGCUGGACAAAAGCCCGGGAUACGGAAAGCUGUCACGCUGGCCCUCUGCCCUUGCAAAAAGGCAGAGGGUCCAUUGAGCUGAUUAACACUAAAGCCAUCUGUGGAGAGCAAAGCUGAAAGAGCUCUGUAACACUGGGGUUGCAGGAAACCACCUCUAGACUGUACCGCCGGGCUGGAGCCCAAAGCGCUCUUCCGGCCUGUAUACCUGCUAAUCUGCACGCUCCCCGUCUUUCAAGAGGUUUGAGCAGCAGGGCUACUGAACAGGCUCUGAUCUAAGUGCUGGGAAUACAUUGGUGGACACAGCCAACCUAGAUGUCCUCCCCUCAUGAAGCUUAUGGCAGAAAGUAAGCCUCCUGCGUGGUUCUGGCUUCAGUAAAGGAGACACUCAGACUUUGAAAGCUGAAUCAAAGAGGGGGAAGCUGUCUUACAUUGUCUGGGUGAUUUUGUAAAGGGGUCACAGUGUAUUCAAGUUUUUAUUUGGCUCAUCACACACUAUGUGGCAUGCUGUGUUCCUGCAAAGACAUUUUCAAAUAAGCUCACAUACACAACUUCUAGGAGUUGAGAUGUAGACAGCCUUUCAAGGACAGCCAUUCCACCCACAACACAUGGUUAAAGGCAAGUGGCCCAACUUUCUGCUAUAGAUUAGAUAUGCUAAUGUUCAAAAGGAAAGAACUUUGAUGUGAAAUGUAAUGCCACCUCGGGAGAGUUUUGGGACUUUGUGGGGUUACAGUGAAGGGGAGCACUACCGGCAGAGUGGGCAAGGAUCUGGGUUGUUCCUUGCCUUGGGAUAUGUGAGACACUCCAGCUUGAAGAAUUGUCCCAUGUCCUCUGCAACUUUCCCAAGUUGUCCCCAACUUGUCAUAUGUUCCUGAGGACAUUCACGUAGGUGAAAAACCUGUUUAUAAUGAUCUGGGUCUACAGCAUAUCUGCAUUUUACAAACAAACAGGAGGUUAUAUUAUCUGUGAAUUUCAUUUCAGGGUAGUGAAAGGGAUAUUAUAAAAUAUCUAUUAUAAAAGGGGAAGUUGGGUCUGAGAGAGUGGAUACUCAAAGAGAAAAAUAUCCCCCAAUGUGUUUUUAUCAACUCUUUUAAUGUGAAUUUUCUGGGAGAUAGUAUUUUAUCAGCAUUUCCUAAAGUAACCCCAUUGUCAGCAUCUCCCUCAGUCAUGCAUAUUUAGAUCCUCAUGGCUUGUGACAGUGUCUUGGAGAGUUGUCUAGAGCUCCUGAGAUGGAAACCAGGAUCCUAUGUAGUGAAAUCUCCUUACCCAGCCCUGUUGGGUGGCACUGAACAUUGUAACUAGUCUUUCUGAAGCUUGAUUUUCUUAUUUCUCAAAGGCCAAUCACUCAAGGCAGGUGGGCAGAUCACUUGAGGUCAGGAGUUUGAGAGCAGCCUGGCCAACAUGGUGAAACCCUGUCUCUACUAAAAAUACAAAAAUUAGCCAGGCAUGGUGGCAGGUGCCUGUAGUCUCAGCUACUCGGAGGCUGAGGCAGGGGAAUUGCUUGAACCCAGGAGGUGGAGGUUGUAGUGAGUGGAGGUCGCACCACUGCACUCCAAAUGAGACUCCAUGUCAAAAAACUAAAAAUAAAAAUAUAAAAUUACAUAUGUUUCUUGCAUUUUAUUUCCAUUGGCCAUCAAGUGAUUGUUGCUAAAAGCUAAAUCUAAAAAUCCCCUAAUAAAUAAACUAUGAGGGUAUAUCUAAAUACAAAUUGGAUACUCAGAAGUA
This 2544-nucleotide long non-coding RNA is filed under the name Homo sapiens (human). Its description in RNAcentral is "HSALNT0106824". The record is from RNAcentral. Lineage: Eukaryota; Metazoa; Chordata; Mammalia; Primates; Hominidae.